UUGCCAUCAGGUAAUGCUGAGCACUCUAAAGAGACCGCUGGUGACGAGCCAGAGGAAGGUGGGGAUGACGUCAAGUCCGCAUGGCCCUUAUGCCCUGGGCUGCACACGUGCUACAAUGGUCGGUACAGAGGGACGCCAAACCGUGAGGUGGAGCAAAUCCCAAAAAGCCGACCCCAGUUCGGAUUGCAGUCUGCAACUCGACUGCAUGAAGUUGGAAUCGCUAGUAAUCGCGAAUCAGCAGGUCGCGGUGAAUACGUUCCCGGCCCUUGUACACA
This 275-nucleotide ribosomal RNA is filed under the name uncultured bacterium. Its description in RNAcentral is "partial 16S ribosomal RNA". It matches the Rfam family "Bacterial small subunit ribosomal RNA", at positions 1115 to 1389 of the family's 1533-position model. The record is from RNAcentral.